Molecule: ribosomal RNA, 408 nt
Filed under: uncultured bacterium
Lineage: Bacteria
Description: partial 16S ribosomal RNA
Rfam family: Bacterial small subunit ribosomal RNA
Source: RNAcentral
AGUGAACGCUGGCGGCGUGCCUAAUACAUGCAAGUCGAACGGAGUGGCGCACGGGUGAGUAAUAUAUAGCUACUCUGCCCCUUGCUGGAGGACAACAGUUAGAAAUGACUGCUAAUACACCAUAGAAAGGGAUGAGACUAUAACGUAUCAGCUAGUCGGUUGGGUAACGGCCUACCGAGGCUAUGACGCGUAACUGGUCUGAGAGGAUGAUCAGUCACAUUGGAACGGAGACGCGGUCCAAACUCCUACGGGAGGCAGCAGUAGGGAAUAUUGCGCAAUGGGGGAAACCCUGACGCAGCAACGGCGCGUAGAGGAUGGCACUUUUCGGAGCGGAAACUACUUUUGUAAGGGAAGCGGUACCUAACGAAUAAGCACCGGCUAACUCCGUGCCAGCAGCCGCGGUAAUUC